This 253-nucleotide ribosomal RNA is filed under the name uncultured bacterium. RNAcentral describes it as "partial 16S ribosomal RNA". It matches the Rfam family "Bacterial small subunit ribosomal RNA", at positions 524 to 776 of the family's 1533-position model. The record is from RNAcentral.
GACGAAGGUGGCAAGCGUUGUUCGGAAUCACUGGGCAUAAAGCGCACGUAGGCGGUGGCGUAAGUCGGGUGUGAAAUCCCUCGGCCUAACCGAGGAACUGCGCCCGAUACUGCGUUGCUUGAGGACCAAAGGGGUGCAUGGAAUUUCCGGUGGAGCGGUGAAAUGCGUUGAUAUCGGAAGGAACGUCGGCGGCGAAAGCGGUGCACUGGUUGGUCUCUGACGCUGAGGUGCGAAAGCCAGGGGAGCAAACGGG